RNAcentral lists this ribosomal RNA (406 nucleotides) under uncultured bacterium. RNAcentral describes it as "partial 16S ribosomal RNA". It matches the Rfam family "Bacterial small subunit ribosomal RNA", at positions 28 to 526 of the family's 1533-position model. The record is from RNAcentral.
GACGAACGCUGGCGGCGGGCCUAAUACAUGCAAGUAGGACGAGUUGCGAACGGGUGAGUAACGCGUGGUAACCUGCAUAAUAGCGGGGGAUGACUAUUGGAAACGAUAGCUAAUACCGCAAACGAGUAGAUGGACCGGCGUUGGAUUAGCUAGUUGGUAGGGUAAUGGCAGACAUAGGCAACGAUACAUAACCGACCUGAGAGGGGGAUCGGUCACACUGGAACUUAGACACGGUCCAGACUCCUACGUGAGGCAGCAGUGGGGAAUAUUGGACCAUGGGCGCAAGCCUGAUGCAGCCAUGCCGCGUGUGUGAAGAAGGCCUUCGGGUUGUAAAGUACUUUAAGCUGGGAGGCGUUACCCGCAGAAGAAGCACCGGCUAACUCCGUGCCAGCAGCCGCGGUAAUUC